UACAGAGGGUGCGAGCGUUGUCCGGAAUCACUGGGCGUAAAGGGCGCGUAGGCGGCCUGAUAAGUAGGGGGUGAAAUCCUGUGGCUUAACUGCAGGGCUGCCUCCUAGACUGUUAGGCUCGAGCACGGUAGAGGCAGAUGGAAUUCCCGGUGUAGCGGUGGAAUGCGUAGAGAUCGGGAGGAACACCGGUGGCGAAGGCGGAUCUCUGGGCCUUGCCUGACGCUGAGGCGCGAAAGCUAGGGGAGCGAACAGG
RNAcentral lists this ribosomal RNA (253 nucleotides) under uncultured bacterium. RNAcentral describes it as "partial 16S ribosomal RNA". It matches the Rfam family "Bacterial small subunit ribosomal RNA", at positions 524 to 776 of the family's 1533-position model. The record is from RNAcentral.